GGCCCCGUAGCUCAGCUGGAUAGAGCGGUCCCCUCCUAAGGGACAGGUCGUGCGUUCGAAUCGCGCCGGGGCCACCA
This 77-nucleotide transfer RNA is filed under the name Solilutibacter silvestris. RNAcentral describes it as "Lysobacter silvestris tRNA-Arg". It matches the Rfam family "tRNA". From Rfam's summary of the family: Transfer RNA (tRNA) molecules are approximately 80 nucleotides in length. Their secondary structure includes four short double-helical elements and three loops (D, anti-codon, and T loops). The record is from RNAcentral. Lineage: Bacteria; Pseudomonadati; Pseudomonadota; Gammaproteobacteria; Lysobacterales; Lysobacteraceae. RNAcentral also lists the same sequence under 2 other names.